CAGUCGCCGCGGUAAUACGAAGGUCCCGAGCGUUGUUCGGAAUCACUGGGCGUAAAGGGAGCGUAGGCGGCGUGGUAGGUCAGAUGUGAAAUCCCGGGGCUCAACCCCGGAACUGCAUCCGAUACUGCCGUGCUAGAGGAUUGGAGAGGUAGCUGGAAUUCUUGGUGUAGCAGUGAAAUGCGUGGAGAUCAAGAGGAACACUCGUGGCGAAAGCGAGCUACUGGACAAUAUCUGACGCUGAGGCUCGAAGGCCAGGGUAGCGAAAGGGAUUAGAUACCCCUGUAGUCCCUGUCACUUAUAC
RNAcentral lists this ribosomal RNA (301 nucleotides) under uncultured bacterium. Its description in RNAcentral is "partial 16S ribosomal RNA". It matches the Rfam family "Bacterial small subunit ribosomal RNA", at positions 509 to 807 of the family's 1533-position model. The record is from RNAcentral.